RNAcentral lists this ribosomal RNA (253 nucleotides) under uncultured bacterium. Its description in RNAcentral is "partial 16S ribosomal RNA". It matches the Rfam family "Bacterial small subunit ribosomal RNA", at positions 524 to 776 of the family's 1533-position model. The record is from RNAcentral.
UACGUAGGGUGCGAGCGUUAAUCGGAAUUACUGGGCGUAAAGCGUGCGCAGGCGGUUCGUUGUGUCGGUGGUGAAAUCCCCGGGCUCAACCUGGGAAUUGCGAUGGAGACUGCACGGCUAGAGUGUGUCAGAGGGGGGUAGAAUCCCGCGUGUAGCAGUGAAAUGCGUAGAUAUGUGGAGGAACACCGAUGGCGAAGGCAGCCCCCUGGGAUAACACUGACGCUCAUGCACGAAAGCGUGGGGAGCAAACAGG